This 650-nucleotide ribosomal RNA is filed under the name uncultured marine bacterium. RNAcentral's name for it is "bacterial SSU rRNA". It matches the Rfam family "Bacterial small subunit ribosomal RNA", at positions 63 to 698 of the family's 1533-position model. The record is from RNAcentral.
CAGAUCGCUGUGAUCCCUUCGGGGUGAACUUGAUGCUGACGAGUGGCGGACGGGUGAGUAACGCGUAGGAAUCUACCCAGUAGCGGGGGAUAGCCCGGGGAAACUCGGAUUAAUACCGCAUACGCCCUACGGGGGAAAGCGGGGGACCUUUCGAGGCCUCGCACUAUUGGAGGAGCCUGCGUUGGAUUAGCUAGUUGGUGGGGUAAAAGCCUACCAAGGCGACGAUCCAUAGCUGGUCUGAGAGGACGAUCAGCCACACUGGAACUGAGACACGGUCCAGACUCCUACGGGAGGCAGCAGUAGGGAAUAUUGCACAAUGGGCGAAAGCCUGAUGCAGCCAUGCCGCGUGUGUGAAGAAGGCCUUAGGGUUGUAAAGCACUUUCAGUAGGGAGGAAAAAGCUGGGUUAAUACUCCAGUUAUAUGACGUUACCUACAGAAGAAGCACCGGCUAACUCCGUGCCAGCAGCCGCGGUAAUACGGAGGGUGCGAACGUUAAUCGGAAUUACUGGGCGUAAAGCGCGCGUAGGCGGUUCAUUAAGUGGGAUGUGAAAGCCCCAGGCUCAACCUGGGAACUGCAUUCCAAACUGACGAACUAGAGUACGAGAGAGGGGGGUAGAAUUCAGAGUGUAGCGGUGAAAUGCGUAGAUAUU